GGCCCUCGCUCUUUGUCCUGUCACUGGGCACCACUGAAAAGAAUCUGGCACCAUCCUCCUGGCACCCACUUUUGAGAUACUGAUGUGCAUUGAUGAGAUUCUCUCUCAGGCUGCUCUGCU
This is a long non-coding RNA of Strigops habroptila (Kakapo), 120 nucleotides long. RefSeq lists it as uncharacterized. The record is from RefSeq and is a predicted model, not a curated record. NCBI's taxonomy places the organism in Eukaryota, Metazoa, Chordata, Aves, Psittaciformes, Psittacidae. The transcript is spliced from 3 exons.